RNAcentral lists this ribosomal RNA (422 nucleotides) under uncultured Gammaproteobacteria bacterium. RNAcentral's name for it is "bacterial SSU rRNA". It matches the Rfam family "Bacterial small subunit ribosomal RNA", at positions 608 to 1029 of the family's 1533-position model. The record is from RNAcentral. Lineage: Bacteria; Pseudomonadati; Pseudomonadota; Gammaproteobacteria.
CUCAACCUGGGAACGGCAUCCGGAACUGUCAGGCUAGAGUGCAGGAGAGGAAGGUAGAAUUCCCGGUGUAGCGGUGAAAUGCGUAGAGAUCGGGAGGAAUACCAGUGGCGAAGGCGGCCUUCUGGACUGACACUGACGCUGAGGUGCGAAAGCGUGGGUAGCAAACAGGAUUAGAUACCCUGGUAGUCCACGCCGUAAACGAUGUCGACUAGCCGUUGGGGUCCUCGAGACCUUUGUGGCGCAGUUAACGCGAUGAGUCGACCGCCUGGGGAGUACGGCCGCAAGGUUAAAACUCAAAUGAAUUGACGGGGGCCCGCACAAGCGGUGGAGCAUGUGGUUUAAUUCGAUGCAACGCGAAGAACCUUACCUACCCUUGACAUCGUGCGAACCAUCCAGAGAUGGAUGGGUGCCUUCGGGAGCGC